RNAcentral lists this long non-coding RNA (1026 nucleotides) under Papio anubis (olive baboon). RNAcentral describes it as "lncRNA (ENSPANG00000042077.1)". The record is from RNAcentral. Lineage: Eukaryota; Metazoa; Chordata; Mammalia; Primates; Cercopithecidae.
AUGCUAUCUGAGAGGCAAAGGUGCCUCUGCAUUUCACGAUUGCCCACUGGGCUAGGACAGCCUCAAGCUCGGCUUAUCUGGCAGUUCCGCCAAGGGCGCGCUGCCCUCCUGGAGCUAUUGGAGUCACCUGUUCAAGGUCGCGAACCCACCGGUGCAGCCUGCAAUCAGCGAGGUCCAGCGGGGCUGCGCGGUUUCCGCUCUGCCCGCGUUCGGCGUCGCCUGGGCCCCCACCUGGUGCCCCGCAAUCUGCGCAAAGGCUGUGAGACCGCGCCCUCUCCCGACCUACCCCACCAGCCCAAGCUGGGCCCGGAACUAACACCCUACAGGCGCAGGCGGCCAGCUGCAGCCGGGAAGGGGCACCGGAAGGAGGCGGUGGCGGGGCGGCCGGGGGAGGAGCGGGCCGGGGCGGGGCGCGGCCUACAAAAGCCACGCGCGGCGCGGAGGGCGGGCCUGGGCGCGAGCGGCGGAGUCGGCGGGGUCCCUGGCGCCGCAGAGGCCGCGGGCGAGGACCGGGAGGGGAGAGGGAGGAGACAGGAGGAGGAGACGCGAGUGCGGGGUGGCGCCGGUCCACCUCCGCAGCGCUCCUGCCUCCCUCCGGCUUUGGAAGGCGGGCCCGGGCUGCGGCAGCGGCGGCCUCGGCUGCCUGGGGAGGUGAAGUCCGGCUGCGGCGGCCUCGGUCGGCGCGGCGGAGGGAGGCGGCCGACCCGGCGGGGGUGGGCAGGUCUGGGCGGCCGGCGCCGCGGCGAGGUGGAGGGGCGGCUUGGUAUCCCCUGGGCGGGGCGGGGCUCCCGUGGGCCGUGGCCCGUGGCCGGUGCGUUUUCCUCCAGGUCAGCCUCCCCCGGGGCCUUGCAGAAGCGGCGUCUGCGUCCCCGGGGCGUCUGUGGGAAGGGUGGGGGUCGGUGCCUGCAGGGUUCUCCGUGGCCGCUCGGGAGAGGUGCUCUUCGCGCAGGCUCGCCCGGAGACUUGAGGGGGUGCUCGCUGGCGUGCAUGGGGCCUGUUCUGUCCUUGCUUUGGGGAUGCUCCUAA